CCGUACCUUCAGUCUUAAUGGAGUUGAUUGCCUAGCCCUGUGCUACUCAAAGAGUAGAACAACUUGAGCGUGUUGUUUGAAGAAGCGAGGUGAAUCCCUCGCAAGCCUAAGUACUGACACGAGACCGAUAGCAAACAAGUAGAGCGAUUGAAAUGUGAAAAGCACCUGUGAAAGAGAGUUAAAAGAACCUGAAGCCAAGGUCGGAUCAGCGGUGCUAAUUGCCUUACCGGAGUGCUGGUCCAGCUACGGCUGUGUGACCCUCCCCUAGACUGUUGUUGGGGGGUUCGUCCUUCCUCAAUGGUUGAUGGGUAUGCCGAGACUGAAUAGGGAUAACAUAGGUCUGUGAUGAUAGACACCUUGAGCCAUUACCAAUAGCCUAACUGUGCAAUUUGGAAGGGCCGACUCUCCGGAGUCUGCUGUGACUGUUGGUUAUCGUUUGAAGUCACAAACUCAGCCUACAAUGUUGUCUCUGCUAAAGCUUAGGAUUGACAAACUGUCGAAACUAAAGAACUCAGGAUCUUAUGGGAUUUGUAACUUGAAAAAGGUGCAUCUCGCCCGAGGACUAGUUUGCUAAAGGGACAAAGGAAUUAACACUGUCUGGACACGAAAGUGAUCGGAAAAGCUAAGACCUGUAACUAUGAUGCCUCAACUGGUUAAGUACUUCCAGAAGUACAAAGGGACAUACUGAGUAUCAGUCGUAUUAAUCAAAAGGAAUUAGCGCUUCCCGUCUUGAAACACGGAUCAAGGAGUCUACUGUCAGUGCAAGUAUAAAGGAAUAGGGUUUGCAAAACCUAGAGAAGGAGAUCCCAUCCUGGGGUCUGUGGUGCGUAGUGAAAGCAAAACCUGUGCAGGUGUCUAGUUCUCUUCCGGAGAUAGACUACCCUCAACAGGGGCCGAUCUUGAGUCCACUGGAUCGAGUUUUGAGUCAAAGCAUUGGUAGUUGGACCCGAAAGGUGGUGAGCUAUACCCUUGGACAGUGAAGUCAUGGGAAACUGUGAUGGAAGCUGGUCUUACUGUGCUAACGUGCAAAUUGCUAGUCACACAUGGGCAUAGGGGCGAAAGACUCAUCGAACCACCUAGUAGCUGGUUUCUUCUGAAGUUUCCCUCAGGAUAGCUGGAGCCUGAUUGUGUUUAUAAUGUAGUUAUGCCUGGUAAAGCAAUGUAUGGGAGGAUUUUGGGUCGGCUUGCCUGACUCGGCCUUUUCUCAAACUGUGAAUCAGACAAGGUGCCCUUGCUUAUUUCCAUCUUGAUUGAGCAAGGGUGUAAGGAAUACUCGGCUCCAUGUGGGCCAAUACUGGUAAGCAGUACUGGCGAUGCGGAAUGCUCCGAGAGUGUAUGUAAAGUGUCCAAAUCUGAGCUCAUUAGACACCCUAAGGAUGUUGCCUGCUGAAGAUAGCAGGGCGGUGGCCAUGAAGGUUGGAAUCCGCUUAGGAAUGUGUAACAACUCACCUGCCGAAGUGGGCAGCUCCUAAAACUGAUGACGCUAAAGCUUAGUACUUAUCGUAGACCACUGUUAUGAAGGCACAAAGUUCCAAAUCAGAGUAUCAGUGUGUAAGGAGACUUGGUCGAGACGUAGAAGACUACAAGGGUAACCUAAGUUGGAGUCUCGACCAGUGCAGAUCUUGGUUGCAGUAGCGGAUACUUAGUCAGGAAUUAGUGGCUAACACCACUUGUACGCGAUUGAGGACUGGAGUGGAGCAGGUUUCCCCAUGCAACGUCAGUCGCAAGGGGGUUAGUCAAUCGUAAGCCAUCUGGCAAUCCCUGUAUUCGGAAGGUCACUUGAGAACCUCAUCUCAGAUCUGUGUUCACAUGAGAUUGGCGAACAGGAAGAGGGUUGUCAAUUCUUUCACUUAGUGCCUCGACUUGUUAGUGUGUGGGGCGACCCUACCGAGGGUAAUUCGGUCCUGCUAAUGCUGGGGAAGAGUCAUCACUGUGGUAUAAGGAGGUUUCUUCUCCUAGAAAUUGUUCGCAUCAUAAGUCGACCACUGAGGGACCUCCGGGGUCCUAUGUGGUUUGGCUUUGAAACAUGCCCAGCUCUUUACGGGGUGGGUACCCAGCUGGAUGACAUCUAACCUAACACCCAGAGUAAGGCAUUGACUCGUCUGAGGAAAGCUUUGAAUUGUACCUAAGAUCCACAACUGGUCUCCUCGACUAGUGGUCGAUAGUCACACAGGACAAUGCAGCUAAGGGAAGUCGGCAAAAUAGCUGUGUAACUUUGGAAGAUGCAGUGGCUCCAAAGGCCGGGGAUGACUGAGCACGAGAGCCCCGAUUCGGAACAUGUCUGUUCGUGGUUAUGACACUUCGUCCUGGUUCUCGGACUGGUUGAUGAGGCGGACUGAUCAUGGCUUCAUGGUACGGCGGUGACCACUCUCGUGAUGGCUCCUCUUCGGGGGGGCUGCCUUGGUUAUUCAAUAACGGAUCAAGUUGGAACUGUUUCUACACAGGGGAAUCUAACUGUUUAAUUGAAACAUAGCUAAGGGAAGAUGUUGGGCGUCCAACUUCCUUGGUGACUUCUGCCCAGUGCUCUGAAUGUGAAAGCAAAGGAAUUCAAACAAGCCCGGGUAAACGGCGGGAGUAACUAUGACUCUCUUAAGGUAGCCAAAUGCCUCGUCAGCUAAUUAUUGACGUGCAUGAACGGAUUAAUGAGAUUCCCACUGUCCCUAGCUGCUACCUGGUGAACCAACAGCCAAGGGAACGGGCUUGGAAGUUGCAGCGGGGAAAGAAGACCCUGUUGAGUUUGACUCUAGUCUGACUUCGUGCAGAGAUAUGGAAGGCGUAGAAUAGGUGGGAGCCCUUAAAUCAGAAAUGAAAUACCACUACUUUCAUGGUCCCUUUACUUAUAUGGUGAAACGGUGACAUGAGCCGCCUACGUUAUCGUGGGAAAGAGAUGGCACUUUGUUUGUCGCUCAGGCUCGCAAAAUGUAUUCACGGUAUCAACGGCCCGCACCUGGGCAAGAUCCGAGGAUCACAUCCAAUCAUCCGUUAUUCCACCAUAGACACAAAUCAGAUGGGGAGUUUGGCUGGGGCGGCACGCCAGCCAGAACACAACGCUGGCGUCCAUAAGUUUAGCUCAAUGUGAACAGAAAUCACCUGUAGAGGAGAAGGCUAAAAGCCAAGUUGAUGUGUCGACCUUCAGUAUUGGUCCUCAAUGUGAAAGCAUGGCCUACCGAUCCUUUGGGAAACAUAGUUAAGAGUUCUGGAUUCGAAGCUAGAGGUGACAGAAAAAUUACCACAGGGAUAACUGGCUUGUGGCAGCCAAGCGUCCAUAGCGACGUUGCUUUUUGAUCCUUCGAUGUCGGCUCUUCCUAGCUUCUUGGUCGCAGCUGGCCAGAAGAGUUGGAUUGUUCACCCACUAACAGGGAACGUGAGCUGGGUUUAGACCGUCGUGAGACAGGUUGGUUUUACCCUCCUGCACAUGAAGUGUUGCUUAAAGAUGCUAUAUGGAUUAAUCAGUUGCACGUUGAGAGCCUGCGGUAGUACGAGAGGAACCCUCAGACCGCAUCUCCGGAAAAGGUACCGGUCGAGGGGCCGUUGUUUCGAAUCUGCCAUGUGAUGGUUAUAGUCUGAACGCCUCUAAGUCCCAAACCAGUCUCUGGGACCUGUAGCUGUAGAUGACUUUGU
RNAcentral lists this ribosomal RNA (3621 nucleotides) under biofilm metagenome. Its description in RNAcentral is "eukaryotic LSU rRNA". It matches the Rfam family "Eukaryotic large subunit ribosomal RNA", at positions 215 to 3175 of the family's 3401-position model. The record is from RNAcentral.